GGCAUAGGAUUUAGAAAUCGGAACAGAGCAAUACUGCCCAGUGGGGGCGCAAUGACACUUACUGGUGAUUGGACAGGAAUGAUGCAGGAUAGCUACGUUGUCAUGACCCGAUCGUACCGAGCAUGCCACAGGUCCUAGCACAGGUUUUAUGUUGCUCUGAGACAUGAUACCUUACUGUUCACUGCAUGAUUACCUUGUUCUGUACUCUCUAGGGGUGUACAGUAAUUAGGGUGGUACAACCAAGGCGAGUGUAUGCUGUGCUUAUAUGCUUGUAGCUGUGUGGUGUAUGGGUGACUAUUCUAUCCUCUUCAUGUGCAACGGAGGGAGUACCACCAUACGUACAAUGGACCAACCAACCACUCCAUCAUCCUGCUACUUGAACAGGAGGAGACUUCCACUGAGUUCGUUUCUUGUACAUGAUUCUGCAGCCACACUCUUGACAACGAAUCGGAUCCCUUGGUUUCACCUCAUUCUCACUGUGACACUCUGUGUUUGUGGAGUGGGCGGCAUGUGUGGUGUGGCUCCAAUUUCCCUUCCCUUUCAAUGAUGACUGAGUGUCCAUAGCUGGGUAUUGAAUAACAGUUGACCUUUUUUUAGCAACAUUUCUCGUUACUUUUCUCAUUUCCCCCCUCUACUUCAAAAUCCUGUAUGACACCCUUGGGCAUUGUGUGUGUGGGGGGGUGUGCAUAUCUCCACAGAUAUAAUUAUGUCAUGGGUUGCUUGGAUUGGUUGGGGGGGAGCAUUGGGGUUAGGUGUAGCUCCUCCUGAUGCGGCUAGCUGGUGUGCUAUAUAGGAUCCAUUUUCGAAAAGCUAAAGGUCUUCUGUGGGAUAAAAGGGGUGGGGCUGGUCUGGAUGUUACUGCGCAUGCGUAUAAGUACACUUGCCCUUUGGCGAGGGAAUGCUUCCAUGCUCAUUCACAGGUCACCAACUCUAUCACCUGUGCUUGAUGGGCAUACCUAAACUUACUAUAUGUUUGUUCUUCAUAUCUUUACCUUACUUAGAUUUCGAUUUAUAUCUGUCUACCCGUUUGUAUUUACCUUACCUACUCGUUUCGCCAUAAAAAAAAAAAAAAAAAAAAAAACUUGCGGCUGUCUGGGACAGAUUUCGCAAUACCCACAAUAACUCACAAUAGUACUCUUGCGGUCCUUAUCGGUGGGAACUGCCGGUCUCCAUGGCAUCUCCACGGAGACUCUGACGUCAAUCGCCUGGAAUAUUCCCAGAUCCAGUUCCAGAAGCUCAAUUCCUUUGAAGAAGCUCAGUGUCUUGCUGGAAGAGAAUCAUCGCGAGCCUUCCACGGUGUUGCAGAACCAUCGUGAACCUUCCAUUGUGUUGCAGAACCAUCGCGAGCCUUCCACGGUGUUGCAGAACCAUCGCGAGCCUUCCAUUGUGUUGCCUUCCUGCGGAGCAGCGCGUGCAUUCUUCAGCCAUGGACGGAUAGGAGCUGGAUCAUCCGAAGCAGUGCAGGCUGCAGGAGUUAUUUGUAAGUUGAAACCUUAACCGUACGUCUGCAUGUUCAUCUUGUCUUGUGUGUAGCUUGUUGCAUGUGGUGUGUGUGUGCAUGUGUAUGUUAUUGCAGCUAUUGAUGGGAUGUUUCCUCUCUGGCCUUGAGUGUAUCGGUGUUGCUUUGUUUGUCGAGUGGUGCGGAGUGCGGGAAGGUUUCUGUUCUGAUAUUCCUUGUGUCUAAGUGUGGUGGCCCCUUCUUGACUGUGAGGUGUGUAGGUCAUGCAGCUUAAUAAAUACAUACUUGCCAGCAAAGCACACGUUGAAUGCAUGUAUGCAUGGCUAAACUCGUGUUGGUGUUGCGCUUAUAAUUUGUUUUUCAUGUACGCGUGGCUAAGAGUCUAUUAUUCUGCAUGGCCUUGAACCCUUGGUGGGGGGGGGGGGGGGGGUGGUGUCCGUAGCACUGGAGUAAUCAAUCAGUAUGUGUGUGGAAGGUUCUUCAACAGUCGGGUCGCAGGACAGGAUCUUCUUGUUCUUGGAACCGUUGUCGAGCCAGUCUUCGGGGUGCAAUGAUGGAUUACUCAUGGCAUUCCAGUCUACGGAGGGAGCACUCUGUUGUUAGUACCUGCCUAAGGGGAAAGCAGCACAGGGUAUGUUCCCCCGGGAGCAUAUCCUGCCAUAAUAGGGAGUGUUGAGAUCUCGUUAUCAGUUCCAAUAGUUAGUUAGCUAGACAUUAGCUAGUUAGUCGACUGCUGGUUCCUAGCUAUGCUAAUGUGAUGGCUUGAAUAUACUUUUAUGAUGCCUUUUUUUAGUCGGGUGGAUGGAAUUGGUAAGUUCAGGCUUUAACUAAACCCUAGGUGUGCCAAGGGAACUGUAGCCUUUGACUGGCUUGGUGGAAGAGUAGUCUUGAGCACUUGUGCAAGCCUUGCAUGCCAGGCUUGUUGCAACUGGAGUCGACAAGGGCUUCGAGAGCAAGGAGGUGUUGUCUCUGUGAGUCUACUGUUGUUGAACCAUCCCACACAUUCUGGUUGAUUACUUCUGUGCUCAGUUAAUGGUACUCACAGUCACAGGGUCCCUUUAGUUUAUUAUGCCCUUAUUGUAUUAGUCCCUUGGGCAAGGAAACUACUGGACUACUGGUGGUGGUCCUCUUUUGGUUGAUUUGAUUGGUUUUGGUUGGUUUAUUAUGGGAAGUUCUGUCUUCUCUGCACAGUUGGUGCAUGUGGAUGAUAAUUAUUUUUGUGGCUGAAUUGGUGGUCUUGUUGUGUAGUCUUGCUGUUGAAUUGAUUGGUGGUUGUUCUAAUCUCUUCUCUGCAUACAAACAGCUAGUUUGUUGUUGUCUGGUGUUAUAAUUAUGUAUUGUGUGUGUAUUGAUAAUACUAGGCUGAUGGUUGUCAGCUGUGGUGGUGAUUGGCUGGUUAUUGUAUUGUGUGGAGUGGAUGGUUUUGUUUGAACUGCUGCUCUCAAUGUAACCAUGCAUUUGCUUGUUCUCUUGCAGCCACAAUGCACACACACACACACACCUCCUCCUACUAGCUACUGUACUAGUGUUCCAUUCUCUCACUGCUUUCGUCUCCUCUCUCCCCCGGCCCAGGUACAGACUAGCCAUGCUGAACCCAGGGAGGGGAUCACCAAUGUAAUUAUAUUGAAGGGGGCGGGGUUUGAUUGUACGCCCCCACAUCUCUCUUCAGAGGGAGGGGCUCAGAUCUCACUGCCCACUAGCCUGUAUUACUGGUCUAUAGAGAGGUGGAUUGUCUCUGUAUAUGUAUGCAGUCAUGGAUACAUUAAAGAUGAGUAUGGCUGGCUACAUGUGAAGUGUCUUAUACAUUCUAUGAUGUGUAGGUUGAUGUCUGCACAGCAAAAGCUAAGCCACUAUAACAGCAUGCACACAGAUGAGUAGCUAGCUAUGUUGUGUGGCAAGUCUUUCAUGCUCUCUGUGUAGGUUGAUUGUGUGUGGAGGAGCCACUGUAACAGCAUGCACACACAGGAGUAGCUAUAACUAUGUUGUGUGGCAAGUCUUUCAUGCUCCCCAAUGUAGGUUGAUUGUGUGUGGAGGAGCCACUGUAACAGCAUACACACAGAUGAGUAGCUAUAACUAUGUUGUGUGGCAAGUCUUUCAUGCUCCCCAAUGUAGGUUGAUUGUGUGUGGAGGAGCCACUGUAACAGCAUACACAAUGCACACCUGAGUAGCUAGCUAUGUUGUAUGGCAAGUCUUUAUGCAUGAUCCCUCCAUGCAGGUUGAUUGCUUGGGAUGGACAGCAGUAACCAACACUACAUGCAAGCAGCUCGACUCUUAUUCUGAUGGCUGCUGCAAACAAUUAAUGAUUGUCGUAUAGUUGUUCAUGUUCAUGUUUUGUAUUUUUAUGACGACGUUAUCAUUUUUUUAUAAUAGUAAUAAUAAAUAAUUAAGAGUUGACAAUGAAUUAAUUAUUGAUACAA
Long non-coding RNA from Halichondria panicea, 3876 nucleotides. RefSeq lists it as uncharacterized. NCBI's taxonomy places the organism in Eukaryota, Metazoa, Porifera, Demospongiae, Suberitida, Halichondriidae. The record is from RefSeq and is a predicted model, not a curated record. The transcript has 2 exons.